Molecule: ribosomal RNA, 255 nt
Filed under: uncultured bacterium
Lineage: Bacteria
Description: partial 16S ribosomal RNA
Rfam family: Bacterial small subunit ribosomal RNA
Source: RNAcentral
UACGAAGGGUGCAAGCGUUACUCGGAAUUACUGGGCGUAAAGCGUGCGUAGGUGGUUUGUUAAGUCUGAUGUGAAAGCCCUGGGCUCAACCUGGGAAUUGCAUUGGAUACUGGCAGGCUAGAGUGCGGUAGAGGAUGGCGGGAAUUCCCGGUGUAGCAGUGAAAUGCGUAGAGAUCGGGAGGAACAUCUGUGGCGAAGGCGGCCAUCUGGACCAGCACUGGACACUGAGGCACGAAAGCGUGGGGAGCAAACAGG